AAAGUUAGAGGUUCGAAGGCGAUCAGAUACCGCCCUAGUUCUAACCAUAAACGAUGCCAGCCAGCGAUCCGGCUGUGUUCCUCAAAUGACACGCCGGGCAGCUUCCGGGAAACCAAAGCUUUUGGGUUCCGGGGGAAGUAUGGUUGCAAAGCUGAAACUUAAAGGAAUUGACGGAAGGGCACCACCAGGAAUGGAGCCUGCGGCUCAAUUUGACUCAACACGGGAAAACUUACCCGGCCCGGACACAGGAAGGAUUGACAGAUUAAGAGCUCUUUCUUGAUUCUGUGGGUUGUGGUGCAUGGCCGUUCUUAGUUGGUGGAGCGAUUUGUCUGGUUAAUUCCGAUAACGAACGAGACUCUAGCCUACUAAAUAGACGUUCCGAUCCUCUGCGUCGGACGUUCUUCUUAGAGGGACAAGCGGCGUUUAGCCGCACGAGACAGAGCAAUAACAGGUCUGUGAUGCCCUUAGAUGUCCGGGGCCGCACGCGCGCUACAUUGAAGGAAUCAGCGUGUGCUUUCCCUGUCCGACAGGACUGGGUAAUCCGUUGAACCUCCUUCGUGCUGGGGAUUGGARMUUGCAACUGCUUCCAUGAACGAGGAAUUCCCAGUAAGCGUGAGUCAUUAACUCAUGUUGAUUACGUCCCUGCCCUUUGUCCACACCGCCCGUCGCUACUACCGAUUGAAUGAUUUAGUGAGGUCUUCGGACUGGCGCUCGGGUCGCGAUCUUCCGGGUCGUACCGGCGUGCCGGAAAGAAGACCAAACUUGAUCAUU
This 771-nucleotide ribosomal RNA is filed under the name Zodarion sp. 16_06. Its description in RNAcentral is "SSU rRNA". It matches the Rfam family "Eukaryotic small subunit ribosomal RNA", at positions 997 to 1793 of the family's 1831-position model. Lineage: Eukaryota; Metazoa; Arthropoda; Arachnida; Araneae; Zodariidae. The record is from RNAcentral.